GAACGCAUCUUGCGCUCUUUGGCCAUUCCGAAGGGCAUGCCUGUUUGAGUAUCAUGAACACCUCAACUCUCAUGGCUUGCCAUGAUGAGCUUGGACUUUGGGGGUCUUGUCGGCCUGCGGUCGGCUCCUCUCAAAUGGAUCAGCUUGCCAGUGUUUGGUGGCGUCACAGGUGUGAUAACUAUCUGCGCUUGUGGUUUCCCAUCAGAUAACCUUCAGCGAUGGAGGUUCGCUGGGGCUCAUAAAUGUCUCUCCUAAGUGAGGACAGCCCUUUGAACGUUUGAUCUCAAAUCAGGUAGGACUACCCGCUGAACUUAAG
This 316-nucleotide unclassified non-coding RNA is filed under the name uncultured Thelephoraceae. RNAcentral's name for it is "sequence contains 5.8S rRNA gene". Lineage: Eukaryota; Fungi; Basidiomycota; Agaricomycetes; Thelephorales; Thelephoraceae. The record is from RNAcentral.